Molecule: long non-coding RNA, 1525 nt
Organism: Larimichthys crocea (large yellow croaker)
Lineage: Eukaryota; Metazoa; Chordata; Actinopteri; Sciaenidae
Exons: 5
Source: RefSeq, a predicted model, not a curated record
AGAGGUUACGUGAUGUUUCCCCCUCAUGUCCAAACAGAAAAGACCAGAUAAGGUUCAUCCAAGACCAACUAGUCUGACCAAAAACAGGCAAAGAUUCACCACUGUGGUGCAAAAACCUGUGUUGGAUUUAACUUACUCUGAAUGAAGCAGUAUAUAAAGAAACUGGAUACAGCUGUGAGAGCGAUGGAGAGAACUUCAACCUGCUGCACUCUUGCUUCAAUGGUCGCUUUAGUCAUCCUCAUCUUAUUUCCAGCGAGGGCCUGUUGUGAGGAAGAUGUCUACAAAUCACAAACAGAGGCCAAGCCAGAGUGCCGCGUUAGUGGAGAUGAGAAGAGGUUUGAUGACACGGACUGGGACAGCUUUGUGAGUCUAAUGGGAAGGAGAAGUGCCGCUCAACCAAACAGUCACAGAAGCACUCCGCUGUCGAGAAAAGGUAAGAAAGCAUCUCAGUAUUUUCUGUAGUGACCUCGUCUGUAUCGCUCUAUGGGACUGUAAAUCACUUCCUGUUCAUCUUAUGCAGAGCACGCGGAUCACAUCCUCGCGGCUCUGCUGGGACGGCGAACAAGACACAACGCUUCCGAUAGAGGAGAUGUCACGACUUUACAAACUCAAGACUGGCUGUAAACUGUCUUCACAGCUACUGUAUCAACCGAGGACGACGUUAUCGACCAGAGACAGAUGAAAAACAUUAUAUUAACCAUGCAUGGAUGCUUUUCUACUGUCAGUGGAAAAUGUUCUGACAUAUAUCAGUGCAAUAUUGCAAAAAACAAAUGUAUUACAAAACAAAUGUACAAUAAAAUCUGCAUUUAUUUAGUGAUUAAAGUACAAUUUACUGAAAACGAUCCCGCACAGGUGUGCUCACACACACACACACUCAUUUACACGCUUAAACGUGUAUCGACUGAAUUUCGACAUCGAUAACAGCAUAAAUACAUUUCAAAUAUAAAUACAGCACUGUACACCUUUCCCUUUGAGAAAACUUGAACACUGGGAGAAGAUUGUCGAUCACGGGCAUCAGAAACCAGACGUGGUGGUUAACAACAAGGUGUGUAAAUCUGCACGGCAGUCCUUUUGCUACUGAAAUGUUUGAAAACUGGGAAAUCAAACAAGCUCAUUAAUAACACCCGCUCGCCAAAAAAAGCAUAAUUGAAAAACAUGCUGAUUUGGUUUGAACUGACCUUUUCCAUUUUUAAAACAGCAAAAAUCAAAACAGGAUGCUCUGUGCUCGCGUACAGAAAACGGAGUGUAAACACUUACGAAAGGCGUUUUGACAAGCAUCAUUAUCUCAUACAAUUUGAAGGAGAGAAGCACGUUGUAGGUGGUAGAAAGGAAAAAAGAAAAACAGCACUUAUAACACUCAAAGGUGCAUGCAAGUGUCAAUCGUUUGAACCGUUACGGAUUCCCGAAGCCAUUUUCUGUAUUUGGUAAUUACUCUCUCCCAUUAAAAUUUAUUCUGUUUGGUUACAAUUUAAUAACAGAACUGCAGUGAAUACAUUUAAAUAUAUUCAACGUACUAACUUAAAAA